RNAcentral lists this ribosomal RNA (497 nucleotides) under uncultured bacterium. RNAcentral describes it as "partial 16S ribosomal RNA". It matches the Rfam family "Bacterial small subunit ribosomal RNA", at positions 28 to 507 of the family's 1533-position model. The record is from RNAcentral.
GAUGAACGCUGGCGGCGUGCCUAAUACAUGCAAGUCGAGCGAACAGACGAGGAGCUUGCUCCUCUGACGUUAGCGGCGGACGGGUGAGUAACACGUGGAUAACCUACCUAUAAGACUGGGAUAACUUCGGGAAACCGGAGCUAAUACCGGAUAAUAAAUUGAACCGCAUGGUUCAAUAGUGAAAGACGGUUUUGCUGUCACUUAUAGAUGGAUCCGCGCCGCAUUAGCUAGUUGGUAAGGUAACGGCUUACCAAGGCGACGAUGCGUAGCCGACCUGAGAGGGUGAUCGGCCACACUGGAACUGAGACACGGUCCAGACUCCUACGGGAGGCAGCAGUAGGGAAUCUUCCGCAAUGGGCGAAAGCCUGACGGAGCAACGCCGCGUGAGUGAUGAAGGUCUUCGGAUCGUAAAACUCUGUUAUUAGGGAAGAACAAAUGUGUAAGUAACUAUGCACGUCUUGACGGUACCUAAUCAGAAAGCCACGGCUAACUACGUG